This 1208-nucleotide ribosomal RNA is filed under the name Flabellula sp. S3M27. RNAcentral's name for it is "bacterial SSU rRNA". It matches the Rfam family "Eukaryotic small subunit ribosomal RNA", at positions 1 to 1159 of the family's 1831-position model. The record is from RNAcentral. Lineage: Eukaryota; Tubulinea; Elardia; Leptomyxida; Flabellulidae.
ACCUGGUUGAUCCUGCCAGAAUGGUAUGCUUUCUUUGGUGAUUAAGCCAUGCAAGUCUAAGUAUAAACUUUUAUACAGUGAAACUGCAGAAGGCUCAUUAUAACAGUCACAACCUUCACGGCCUAAGAAAAGCAGCAAUGCUUAACGGAUAACUGUGGGAAACUAGAGCUAAUACGUGUAGGGCAAGGGUAAAAUCUUGCCAGAUUGUUCGCAAGAACAUGAAGGACUUAUUAGUCAAUUACAGAUAGGCCAUGUGCCUUGAUGGGGAACCAAUAUAUAUUGGUGAGACAUGAUAAUUAUCCGAAUCGCAGUACUCCUAUGGAGUGGCGAUGGCUCGUAAGCGUGUCUGUCUUAUUAAGUUGUAGUAAGUAUAGAGUACUUACUAGCUAUUAAUGAGUACGGGGAAUGAUUGUUCGAUCCCGGAGAAGCUACAUGAGAAUCGGUAGCUACAACUAAGGUUCGGCAGCAGGCGCGAAACUUACCCAAAUGUUAAAUCGAUGAGGUAGAGAAGAAGAAUAUACAUGUAGGCCAAUUUGGUGCUAUUAGUAAAUGAGGUGUGUUUAAAACAACGCCGAGUAACAAGGAGAGGGCCAAUAUGAUGCCAGCAGCCGCGGUAAUAUCAUUUCUUCGAGUAUACUUUUAAUUUGCUGCUUUUAAAAGGCCCGUAGUCGAUAAUUGAGAAGCAUAGAUGAUUGAGUCCACAAAUGUGAGACCGACACUAUGAUCUCUUCAGAGUAUAAAGUCUAUAUGGCGUUAUACUUAUUUUACCAUGAAUAAAGCUGAGUGCUUAAAGCAGGCGUAACUAGCCUUUGAAAGUUUUAGCAUGGGAUAAUAGAACAGGACCAUUUAGUUCGUAGAUUGAUAGAAGCUUGCUUCUUGAUAUCAAUGUUGGUUCCUUUGAACGGAUGGUAAUGAUUAAUAGGAGUGGAUGGGGUUCUUACUACUAGAUGGCCAGAGGUGAAAUUUUAUGAUCCAUCUAUGAGUAACGGAAGCGAAGGCGAUGAACCAGUACAUUUCCAUUGAUAAAGGACGAAAGCUGGGGGUUCGAAGACGAUUAGAUACCGUCGUAGUCCCAGCUGUAAACGAUGUCGACUGAGGAUUGAAGCUAAUCUAUUUAUAAAGAUGGCUUCAGCACUCUCAGGGAAACCGUUAAGUUUGGACUGAGGGGGGAGUACGAUCUCAAGAUUGAAACUUAAAGGAAUUGACGG